CGCGGGAUGGUCCGCGGCCCGGGAACCUCGCGUGGCUGGCGCGCGACGGCGCCGCUGAGCCGAGACGACGCGUGGAUCAUCUUCACGUCCGGCUCC
RNAcentral lists this transfer RNA (96 nucleotides) under Mycolicibacterium parafortuitum. RNAcentral describes it as "tRNA-Gln". Lineage: Bacteria; Bacillati; Actinomycetota; Actinomycetes; Mycobacteriales; Mycobacteriaceae. The record is from RNAcentral.